UGGGGAAUCUUGGACAAUGGGGGCAACCCUGAUCCAGCCAUGCCGCGUGAGUGAUGAAGGCCUUAGGGUCGUAAAGCUCUUUCGCCUGUGAAGAUAAUGACGGUAGCAGGUAAAGAAACCCCGGCUAACUCCGUGCCAGCAGCCGCGGUAAUACGGAGGGGGUUAGCGUUGUUCGGAAUUACUGGGCGUAAAGCGCACGUAGGCGGACCAGAAAGUUGGGGGUGAAAUCCCGGGGGCUCAACCCCGGAACUGCCUCCAAAACUAUUGGUCUAGAGUUCGAGAGAGGUGAGUGGAAUUCCAAGUGUAGAGGUGAAAUUCGUAGAUAUUUGGAGGAACACCAGUGGCGAAGGCGGCUCACUGGCUCGAUACUGACGCUGAGGUGCGAAAGUGUGGGGAGCAAACAGGAUUAGAUACCCUGGUAGUCCACACCGUAAACGAUGAAUGCCAGUCGUCGGGUAGCAUGCUAUUCGGUGACACACCUAACGGAUUAAGCAUUCCGCCUGGGGAGUACGGUCGCAAGAUUAAAAC
Molecule: ribosomal RNA, 528 nt
Filed under: uncultured bacterium
Lineage: Bacteria
Description: bacterial SSU rRNA
Rfam family: Bacterial small subunit ribosomal RNA
Source: RNAcentral